Molecule: ribosomal RNA, 312 nt
Filed under: Triticum aestivum (bread wheat)
Lineage: Eukaryota; Viridiplantae; Streptophyta; Magnoliopsida; Poales; Poaceae
Description: partial small subunit ribosomal RNA
Source: RNAcentral
AUGGACCGUGUGAUGAAGAUGGCGUCAGAGCGGGGGGUGGUGAUCUUCACCUUGAACUCAUGCUGCAUGUGCCACACGGUAACCCGCCUCUUCACCGACCUCGGUGUCAAUGCUCUGGUUCAUGAGCUAGACCAUGAUCCCAAGGGCAAGGAGAUGGAGAAGGCGCUCCUCAAGCUUCUCGGGAAGGGGCCACCCGUCCCAGCAGUGUUCAUCGGUGGAAAGCUUGUGGGCGGCACCAAUAAGGUCAUGUCUCUGCACCUUGGUGGUGAGCUGGUUCCCAUGAUACGGAAUGCAGGUGCCCUAUGGCUGUAG